Molecule: long non-coding RNA, 600 nt
Organism: Manis javanica (Malayan pangolin)
Lineage: Eukaryota; Metazoa; Chordata; Mammalia; Pholidota; Manidae
Source: RefSeq, a predicted model, not a curated record
UACCUAAAAAUGAUGAGCAAACCUCUUGGACCUAAAAAUAUAACCACAGUAUGACCUGAAGUAGAUGACUUAAAAGCCCAGUAACUUCCUCCAUCUUCUGUCACAGGGAAAGAAAUCUGACUUCAAACCGGGGUGAAGGGGUCUCCAGCCCCAGAAUGCAGUCCAGGUCAAGCUGUGGUCACAAAAUCUUUGCACAGAAGAAAAGAAGAAAGCCAGUUGUUAUUGUGAAGGAAAAACUUACACACAUCUUUGACUCAAACCAGAGGAAAGCUUGAAGAACUCCAUCUGACAUUUCUUAUAAGACCUGUCUAGCAGUGAUGAACUUCUUCAACUUUUGUUUAUAGGGAAAACACCUUACCUUUCUUCAUUUCUGAAGGACAAGUUUGUCAGGUGAUGACCUCACUUCCAAGCAUCCUUUUACUCCUAAACAAUCUGGUCAUGAAACUGGAGGCAAGCUGCCGUAUCAUCACCAUCUCUAAGCGGCCAUGACACUUUGGUUCCUCACCUCCAGAUCCACAUCUUCAACAUUCCACCACCCAGGAAGUCCUUUUGGGUUUUGCAUGAGGUACCCUAAUAAAUUACACUCUAACAAACCUCUAA